Molecule: ribosomal RNA, 616 nt
Filed under: uncultured bacterium
Lineage: Bacteria
Description: bacterial SSU rRNA
Rfam family: Bacterial small subunit ribosomal RNA
Source: RNAcentral
GAAAGAUGGCUUUGGCUAUCACUCUGGGAUGGACCUGCGGUGCAUUAGCUAGUUGGUAAGGUAACGGCUUACCAAGGCGAUGAUGCAUAGCCGAGUUGAGAGACUGAUCGGCCACAAUGGAACUGAGACACGGUCCAUACUCCUACGGGAGGCAGCAGUAGGGAAUCUUCCACAAUGGGCGCAAGCCUGAUGGAGCAACACCGCGUGAGUGAAGAAGGGUUUCGGCUCGUAAAGCUCUGUUGUUGGAGAAGAACGUGCGUGAGAGUAACUGUUCACGCAGUGACGGUAUCCAACCAGAAAGUCACGGCUAACUACGUGCCAGCAGCCGCGGUAAUACGUAGGUGGCAAGCGUUAUCCGGAUUUAUUGGGCGUAAAGCGAGCGCAGGCGGUUGCUUAGGUCUGAUGUGAAAGCCUUCGGCUUAACCGAAGAAGUGCAUCGGAAACCGGGCGACUUGAGUGCAGAAGAGGACAGUGGAACUCCAUGUGUAGCGGUGGAAUGCGUAGAUAUAUGGAAGAACACCAGUGGCGAAGGCGGCUGUCUGGUCUGCAACUGACGCUGAGGCUCGAAAGCAUGGGUAGCGAACAGGAUUAGAUACCCUGGUAGUCCAUGCCGUAA